GAGUAAAACAGAGGUAAGAGAAAGUCAGACUCACCCCAUCUCAUUGUAAAUUAAGAGUAAAACAGAGGUAAGAGAAAGUCAGACUCACCCCAUCUCAUUGUAAAUUAAGAGUAAAACAGAGGUAAGAGAAAGUCAGACUCACCCCAUCUCAUUGUAAAUUAAGAGUAAAACAGAGGUAAGAGAAAGUCAGACUCACCCCAUCUCAUUGUAAAUUAAGAGUAAAACAGAGGUAAGAGAAAGUCAGACUCACCCCAUCUCAUUGUAAAUUAAGAGUAAAACAGAGGUAAGAGAAAGUCAGACUCACCCCAUCUCAUUGUAAAUUAAGAGUAAAACAGAGGUAAGAGAAAGUCAGACUCACCCCAUCUCAUUGUAAAUUAAGAGUAAAACAGAGGUAAGAGAAAGUCAGACUCACCCCAUCUCAUUGUAAAUUAAGAGUAAAACAGAGGUAAGAGAAAGUCAGACUCACCCCAUCUCAUUGUAAAUUAAGAGUAAAACAGAGGUAAGAGAAAGUCAGACUCACCCCAUCUCAUUGUAAAUUAAGAGUAAAACAGAGGUAAGAGAAAGUCAGACUCACCCCAUCUCAUUGUAAAUUAAGAGUAAAACAGAGGUAAGAGAAAGUCAGACUCACCCCAUCUCAUUGUAAAUUAAGAGUAAAACAGAGGUAAGAGAAAGUCAGACUCACCCCAUCUCAUUGUAAAUUAAGAGUAAAACAGAGGUAAGAGAAAGUCAGACUCACCCCAUCUCAUUGUAAAUUAAGAGUAAAACAGAGGUAAGAGAAAGUCAGACUCACCCCAUCUCAUUGUAAAUUAAGAGUAAAACAGAGGUAAGAGAAAGUCAGACUCACCCCAUCUCAUUGUAAAUUAAGAGUAAAACAGAGGUAAGAGAAAGUCAGACUCACCCCAUCUCAUUGUAAAUUAAGAGUAAAACAGAGGUAAGAGAAAGUCAGACUCACCCCAUCUCAUUGUAAAUUAAGAGUAAAACAGAGGUAAGAGAAAGUCAGACUCACCCCAUCUCAUUGUAAAUUAAGAGUAAAACAGAGGUAAGAGAAAGUCAGACUCACCCCAUCUCAUUGUAAAUUAAGAGUAAAACAGAGGUAAGAGAAAGUCAGACUCACCCCAUCUCAUUGUAAAUUAAGAGUAAAACAGAGGUAAGAGAAAGUCAGACUCACCCCAUCUCAUUGUAAAUUAAGAGUAAAACAGAGGUAAGAGAAAGUCAGACUCACCCCAUCUCAUUGUAAAUUAAGAGUAAAACAGAGGUAAGAGAAAGUCAGACUCACCCCAUCUCAUUGUAAAUUAAGAGUAAAACAGAGGUAAGAGAAAGUCAGACUCACCCCAUCUCAUUGUAAAUUAAGAGUAAAACAGAGGUAAGAGAAAGUCAGACUCACCCCAUCUCAUUGUAAAUUAAGAGUAAAACAGAGGUAAGAGAAAGUCAGACUCACCCCAUCUCAUUGUAAAUUAAGAGUAAAACAGAGGUAAGAGAAAGUCAGACUCACCCCAUCUCAUUGUAAAUUAAGAGUAAAACAGAGGUAAGAGAAAGUCAGACUCACCCCAUCUCAUUGUAAAUUAAGAGUAAAACAGAGGUAAGAGAAAGUCAGACUCACCCCAUCUCAUUGUAAAUUAAGAGUAAAACAGAGGUAAGAGAAAGUCAGACUCACCCCAUCUCAUUGUAAAUUAAGAGUAAAACAGAGGUAAGAGAAAGUCAGACUCACCCCAUCUCAUUGUAAAUUAAGAGUAAAACAGAGGUAAGAGAAAGUCAGACUCACCCCAUCUCAUUGUAAAUUAAGAGUAAAACAGAGGUAAGAGAAAGUCAGACUCACCCCAUCUCAUUGUAAAUUAAGAGUAAAACAGAGGUAAGAGAA
Oncorhynchus keta (chum salmon) is the source of this 1858-nucleotide long non-coding RNA. RefSeq lists it as uncharacterized. The record is from RefSeq and is a predicted model, not a curated record. Lineage: Eukaryota; Metazoa; Chordata; Actinopteri; Salmoniformes; Salmonidae. The transcript is spliced from 4 exons.